AUGAGUACCCCAGCUGUGCCCUGAGACCUGCAGCUGCCCCCGAGUCAGAAGGCCCAGUCUGCAUUCAAAGAGCAAAGAAAACAAAAACUCCAGGAACAUCUGUUGAGAAGAGAAACACUUUUUGCAUACAAGCAGGAAAAUGAGAUGUUAUCCAGUAGUAGAGGUCAGAGAGCUGGGACAUCUGAGGACCAAGUUCAAGAAGGGACUAAAGUGCUGAAACUUAAAACAAAAAUGGCUGAUAAAGAAAAUGUGAAGAGACCUGCAGGGAGUGAAAAUAGUACAAUAGUGGGGAGAAAUUGCAUUCCUUUAAAACCUUCAAAUGAACUAACCAAUUCAACUAUAGUAAUUGACACACAUAAACCUAAGGAUAGUAAUGAAACUCUGCAGUUGUUACUAACUGAAGAUGAUCCCCAAAGUCAACAUAUGACAUUAAGCCAGGCAUUUCACCUUAAAAACAAUAGUGAAAAGAAACAGAUAACUGCAGAAAAACUAAAGCAAGAUGCUAACAUGCCCAAGAAACCUGUACGUGGAUCUUAUUGUGGCCAGAUUGUUCAGUCUAAGGUUAAUUCAUUUAGAAAACCUCUACAAGUCAAAGAUGAGAGUUCUGCAGCAACAAAGAAACUUUCAACCACUGUCCCUAAAGCCACAAAGCCUCAGCCUGUAAACACCAGCAGUGUAACAGUGAAAAGUAAUAGAUCCUCAAGUAUAACUGCCACUACGAAAUCUGUCUAAGCACUACAUCUCAAAACACACAACUUGUGCGACAUCCAAUUAGAAGUCAUCACAGUAAUACCCAGAACACUGUGAAACAAGGCAUCAGUAGAACCUCUGCCCAUGUUACAGUCUGGAAAGUGCCUCGUGAAAAAGAACUGUUAGAAUCAAAAACAGCUUUACCUAGCGUCAAAACAAGUUCUUGUCAAGAUAUAAUUAGAAGUAAGGCAUUGUUAAGAAGCAUAGCAACUGAAGUUGUGGCUAGGCCUGCUUCAUUGUCUAAUGACAAACUGAUAGAAAAGUUGAAGCCCAUUGACCAGCGAAGACAUACUAUAGGAAAAGCAACUGUUGGUAGAUCAGCUCAUCCCAAAGAAACCACAGAAGACAGAAAAGCUCGUCUGAGUGAGUGGAAAGCUGGCAAGGGAAGAGUGCUAAAAAGGCCUCUGAACUCAGUAGUUAUUCAGCAUGAGCCUGAAGGACAAAAAGAAAAACCAGCUGGGUCUUUUUGGACUACCAUGGCAGAAGAAGAUGAACAAAGAUUAUUUACUGAAAAAGUAAACAACACAUUUUCUGAAUGCCUGAACUUGAUUAAUGAGGGAUGUCCAAAAGAAGGUAUACUGGUCACAGUUAAUGACCUGAUUAAAAAUAUUCCAGAUGCCAAAAAGCUUGUUAAAUAUUGGAUAUGUCUUUUACGUAUGGAACCAAUCACAAGUCCUGUUGAAAAUAUUAUUGCAAUCUAUGAGAAAGCCAUUCUGGCAGGGGCUCAGCCUAUUGAAGAGAUGCGACACACAAUUGUAGAUAUUCUAACAAUGAAGAGUCAAGAAAAAGUUAAUUUGAAAGAAAAUAAGGAGAAGACUUGUGCAACCAAGGAAUUAGUCACAGAAGUCAGUAUUGAAGAUACAGGUGUUGAUGUAGAGCCAGAAAAACCAGAAAUAGAGAGUAAACAUCAUAGAAAUGUCCUAUUGCAAGACUGUGAAAAAGAGCAAGACAGCAAAACAAAAGAUCCAACCCAUGAUAUUAAAACCCCCAAUACAGAAAUGAGGACAAAUUCCUUAAUUAAAUAUAAUGUGUCUACUACGCCAUACUUGCAAAGAACAGCUAACGGAGUUGGGAAGACAAACUGAAGCUUUUGUAUGCCGCCCUAAUGCAGCACUGUGCCGGAUGUACUCUGAGGAUUCAAUGACAGAAGAGAACUAAAGCUCUGAUAGGGAAUUGGGUUUUUAUGAUUUGUGGGGUGUUUUGUUUGGAGUAGCUUUAUAUUGCCCUUAGGACUGAAGUUGGCCAAGUACCUAUGUAUCUUAAGUAUUCAUGGCAGUGAGCUUCUUUACUAACAUUCAUGUUAUGGCCAGAAUUGUCCUCUGCAUUAGAAAGCUAAUACUGCUGUUUGAAUCUCAACUGACUGUGUUUUUUCUUUUAAGAUAGGUAAAUUUUGUCAGCUAGUUUACUAUGUUCCUUGAAUAUAAAUAGGUUAUAAUACUAGGCUGUUCACUUUACUAACUAUAAGUACAGUAAUGAUGCAUCAUUAGAAAAUGAGUUAUUCCAGUUAAAAUGUGUAUGUUUGCAUUGACAUGUUUUUAAAAGUUAUGAUCUCCCUACCAUUAAACAGAAUAAUUUUUGGGGGUGCUUUCUUGGAUUAGUAUGAAAGUUAAAAAUUGUAUAGAAUGACUCACUUUGAAUAUUAAGACACAGGAGGUUUAGCUUGCUUUCUCACCAAAUUCAUGUUACCCAGGCUUGUGUUCUGUUGUCCCUUGGACUGCCUAUUGAUUGAUGAAAGUGUCUGCACUGUCUCUCUUCGUCAGUGAUAGUCUGUGGUCUCAUGGCCUCUUUUGAUUAUAACUGCGGUCACCAAGAAGGGUGCUUAAUUAAAUAACCCCAUUUAUAGAAGAUACUUUGUGUAAGAAAGAAAAGAUGCCAGAUUUAUUGGUUUAACUUUUGUAACUUCACUU
RNA transcript from Sapajus apella (tufted capuchin), 2657 nucleotides. It is a transcript of the gene named cytoskeleton-associated protein 2 pseudogene, with no coding region annotated. The record is from RefSeq and is a predicted model, not a curated record. The transcript has a single exon. Lineage: Eukaryota; Metazoa; Chordata; Mammalia; Primates; Cebidae.